CGUAUAUUAAAGUUGUUGCAGUUAAAAAGCUCGUAGUUGGAUUUGUGGCGUAUGGUGUGUUCCGGGCACUUGUUGUCUGAGUAACCUGCUGUUGCCAUCCUUGGGUGGAACCUGUGUGGCAUUAGGUUGUCGUGCAGGGGAUGCCCAUCAUUUACUGUGAAAAAAUUAGAGUGUUCAAAGCAGGCUUAUGCCGUUGAAUAUAUUAGCAUGGAAUAAUGAGAUAGGACAUUUUUACUAUUUUGUUGGUUUGCGUAAAGAGGUAAUGAUUAAUAGGGACAGUUGGGGG
This 286-nucleotide ribosomal RNA is filed under the name uncultured Bacillariophyceae. RNAcentral describes it as "partial 18S ribosomal RNA". It matches the Rfam family "Eukaryotic small subunit ribosomal RNA", at positions 598 to 888 of the family's 1831-position model. Lineage: Eukaryota; Bacillariophyta; Bacillariophyceae. The record is from RNAcentral.